This 460-nucleotide ribosomal RNA is filed under the name uncultured bacterium. Its description in RNAcentral is "partial 16S ribosomal RNA". It matches the Rfam family "Bacterial small subunit ribosomal RNA", at positions 338 to 795 of the family's 1533-position model. The record is from RNAcentral.
CCUACGGGUGGCAGCAGUGAGGAAUAUUGGUCAAUGGGCGCGAGCCUGAACCAGCCAAGUCGCGUGAAGGAUGACUGCCCUCCGGGUUGUAAACUUCUUUUAUAAAGGAAUAAAGUGAGGCACGCGUACCUUUUUGUCUGUACUUUAUGAAUAAGGAUCGGCUAACUCCGUGCCAGCAGCCGCGGUAAUACGGAGGAUACGAGCGUUAUCCGGAUUUAUUGGGUUUAAAGGGAGCGCAGAUGGGUUGUUAAGUCAGCUGUGAAAGUUUGCGGCUCAACCGGAAAACUGCAAUUGAUACUGGCAGUCUUGAGUACAGUAGAGGUAGGCGGAAUUCGUGGUGUAGCGGUGAAAUGCUUAGAUAUCACGAAGAACUCCGAUUGCGAAGGCAGCUUACUAAACUGCCACUGACACUGAGGCUCGAAAGUGUGGGUAUCAAACAGGAUUAGAUACCCCUGUAGUC